CCUUGCGGGAGGAUCAUG
Molecule: ribosomal RNA, 18 nt
Filed under: Acacia praelongata
Lineage: Eukaryota; Viridiplantae; Streptophyta; Magnoliopsida; Fabales; Fabaceae
Description: partial small subunit ribosomal RNA
Source: RNAcentral